RNAcentral lists this long non-coding RNA (990 nucleotides) under Hordeum vulgare. RNAcentral describes it as "long non-coding RNA (HVUL_LNC015859)". Lineage: Eukaryota; Viridiplantae; Streptophyta; Magnoliopsida; Poales; Poaceae. The record is from RNAcentral.
CCGAUACCCCCACCACACUUACACGAAAACGACUAUAUAUGCCACAGGCCCUCACACACGCCAAAGUAAUGGGCCGGAGGCUCCUAUGGGGCAACCAUAGCAUUAUUGACCCAUGCCCCAUGGUCAUGGUUGGAGUCUGUUCUCUUUGAUGCUGAGCAGUUGGGUUCUCUGCGGAGGAACUUCGUUGUGGGGACCAAGGGGUUUUCUUAAUAAGAGUUGCUUUGAUGAAAAGAGUGUAGCCAUGAUGGCAAGUCAAGGUGGGACCCUGUGACGGCAAGCCUUGUGUAUGUUGGUGUGAUGACGAGAGAAAGAAAAUGACCUUGAACAAUAGCUGUCCGUAGAACACCCUGCAAUGACUCCAACCAGUGGACCAGCCUAUCCAAUAGACCUUAGAAGAACCCAAGCGGUUCCAUUAUUAUGCUUACCUAUGUGGUUAGCUCUAUGACUUUCGUUCCUGCACUUUGCUAAAUGCAAUAUUUCUACCAGCCCUUUCCUGUACAUAAUCAAGUGUCGAACUGUGUAAUCGACUACAUAAAUUCACUGGACAGCAACACAAUUAUCUGUAUGGUCUUUAUGUAGAGACAUCAUGACCUGUUUGGCUGCUCUUUAGCUCCGGCUUAUGGGCUUCGGACAGAAGCUAGCCAGGCUAAACAAGUUGGAUCUUCUUGGCUCAUCUUUUAAAGCCUAAGCUAGAGUUGUAAUAAAGGCUUAGCCUUUAAAGCCUAAGCUAGAGUUGUACCCUUUAAAGCCUAAGCUAGAGUUGUAAUGAAGGCUUUAAAUAAGAUGGAGACAGCUGUGAUAUGCAUAGGAAACUGAAGGCUGAAUUGUUUGGCUCCUCUACAAUUCAUAACUGCAAAAAAUCGAGAAGGGCUCUAGCUUAGUGAAAAUGUGUUCAUUCUUCUUCGAGAAGCUCAAGAGGAUGCCACCUAAACAGGCCUAGUAGUUAAUACUGUACAAAUUUAGAAUUAUAGCUUAAGCAUUUAAUUAUGU